CACGUCAGAUAGGGAUCUACAAUUUUGCCCCCUUUCAUAAACCAGAGCCCUCUCUACUUUACGUCUUCCUCUGCUUUGGGCUUGAUUGUAUGCUAGGGAUUGUAUGCUUAUCUCUAAUCCAAACUGGAGCCCAUAAAGCCACCCAAUUGGAAGUUGUACUCCUAACCCCCACGGUACGCCCAGAGUACCAGACCGACCACGGUCAUUGUAUA
Molecule: non-coding RNA, 212 nt
Organism: Pelobates cultripes (western spadefoot toad)
Lineage: Eukaryota; Metazoa; Chordata; Amphibia; Anura; Pelobatidae
Source: the annotation of a GenBank genome assembly